AAAAGACAUAUGAUAAGUCAAUGGAAAAAUGAUAUUUUAUGGCGUAGAAAAUAAAAUAUAAAAGUAUAUAAAUUGAAGGAUUAUCACAGCGAUGAUACUUACAAAGAGAAAACAGAGAAAUAACAUCGGAAUUAAGGCCGAAUAUGAAACAUGUUUUAGUGCUUCUGAUUUGUUGUUUUUUCAUUCUAGGUAAAUAUAGAUUAUCCCUUUAAGUAGCUUUUCAAUUAGAAAUUUAGUUUAUGUUUUACUUUGUUUGUAUAUAAAAACUUCUUUUUAUGCUUUAACUAUUUCUAUUUAAAGAAAAAAGAAAAUAAAUGCUUUAAUGGCGUUUUUAUUUUGUUUUGUGUUCGUGCUGUUUCUGUUAAUUGAUGGGAAAUACAAUAACAUUUUUGUACAACAAGGUUUUUACAAAGUCGUUUGCAUGAUAACAAGAAAGCAUUGUUCUUAUUUUUUUGUACAUUCAAUUAGCGCAUUUAAUUGAAUAAUACUGGAAGUGUUGGAGAAAAUGAUUAUGAACCCGACAUCUGCCUGAUCAUUCACGAAGGUCGAUGGAAAAAACGAUAGGAAAGUAUACGGAAGUUGAGUACCCUGAAUAUCAAAAAAAAAAAUCCCGGAUAUUGUGUAACCUAUUAUUUUUGUCCCCUUUUUAUAGCUUGAUGAGACUGACGUACACUUUAAAUUUCGUUUAAAAUAAAUCACAGAACAAAAUGUAUUGUCAAGUUCUCAAAUGGCAAAGUUACUUAUUUACAAAAUAAUGCAAAAUUUCAAAGCAUUUUUCGUACAUAUACUAUGACAUGUUAGUAGAGACAUCAUUGUAAAUUUUGAUAGGUUAUUGUUUUAUUUCAUUUUAUUUAAUUUCACUAAAGAUGGUCAACAUACUAGGCCGUUUGUUUUCUAGUUUGAAUUGAUUUACAUUAAUUUUGUGAUUUUUGGGCCUGUUAUAUGGGCUUUGCUAUUAUUUACAGGCCGUAUGGUGACCUAUACCUGUUAAUGUCUGUGUAUUUUGGUCGCGUGUGGAGAGUUGUCUCAUUGCCAAUCAUACCACUUUUUUAUUUUUUUUUAUUUGAAUUUAUCAAACGGAUUUUAAGCCUGAUAUUUUUUAACAUAUACUACUCACUUGGUGUUACAAAUAAUGGUAUAGUGGUAUUAUUUUGCUGUUUCUCUAUUGGAUUUGAUCAAAAACAUGAAAAUUAUAAAACAGAAACAGCCAGUUCGUAUUUUGUUUACUUAUAUUACGUAGUUAUAUUUCCUCGAUAAAGUAAUUUAUCCAUGCUAAUGAAACUCAUGAUGGAGAAGCGUCUGCAUACGGACUAUAUAUCUUCCAUUUGAUGCGAUACUCAAAAGCUUGUAUUUCCUAUCGUGCUUUCCUUGAUAGAGUGUUGCUGCUCACAAGGUAAAUUUUAACCAAGAGUUCAAAGCGGUGAAGUUAAAAUCAUCCCUUUGUUUAUUUUACGGCUAACACCGCGUUACCUUAUUUUGAUAGUACUCUAAGUGAAGUUCGGUUGGUCUCUCCACAUAAUCCGACUGUCUAAGCUAAAACAAACUGACCACCACAAAAAAGCACAAUAGCGUUGUAUUGACAGGUACUUGGAGUUUACCUUUUAUAUUAUGGCUAAGGUAUAUAUUGAUUUAAAGUAUUAAAUUAAAAGUUUUUCACACAAUGUACGCACAAAAAAAACAUAACUCAUAAUACAAACUUUAACAAAACUCUUUUUUUUUUAUUUUCACAGGUAUGUCUAGUAUGUCAUGGCAAAAAAGAAUACGAACUUUAGAAGUAUGUAGUUCUUUAGAUUCAGUUGGAACUUUCCCAAAAUCAACAUGUUACGAAAUGGAAAAGUUGCAAAGUUUUAUAUGUGGACAAUGUAUCGAUGAAGAUUGUUACAACCGGUACAUGUGCUAUCUUUGAAAAGAACAUCCAUGGAAAAUGUUUUGUAAUUGUUUAUUUACAUUAUUUAAAAUGGAAUACUUCGACUAUCAUGACGUUAACACAUUCAUAAGUAUAUAUUUCUGUAUUGUAUUGCUACUAAAUAUGUCUCAAGUAAUUAAUUACCCACUACAUUUGACUUUAACAUGCUUAAU
This 2079-nucleotide long non-coding RNA is filed under the name Mytilus galloprovincialis (Mediterranean mussel). The record is from RNAcentral. Lineage: Eukaryota; Metazoa; Mollusca; Bivalvia; Mytilida; Mytilidae.